RNAcentral lists this long non-coding RNA (1444 nucleotides) under Catagonus wagneri (Chacoan peccary). RNAcentral's name for it is "lncRNA (ENSCWAG00000018422.1)". The record is from RNAcentral. Lineage: Eukaryota; Metazoa; Chordata; Mammalia; Artiodactyla; Tayassuidae.
CGACGCGGCGGCCGCAGCUAUGGGCGCCGGGCCUUCGGGGUUGCAGAGAGGGCUCGAGGAACGGCCGGGCGCGGCUGAAGAGACCGCCGCUGGGACUGGCCCUUGAGCUGAGCUGCGGCGGGGGUCCCCGCAGGCACUGCGAGAGCCCGUGAGCGCGAGCGGGACACAUCGGAGGAGCUGGGCAGCCGCCGGCUACUUCAGGGGGACCCGGCUGACCGCUGGGCAGAUCUACAGGGCCGUGUGGGCACCUCUGGGAGUGGGGUGACCCGCCUGGCACGUUUCGGGGGCCUGGGCGCUUCUGCAGGGGCCAACUCACAUCCCCGGGGGCACCGCCGGGGCCCAGCGCCGCCUCGGCCAGCCCAGGGGCGGCCCUGGAUGGCUGAGCUGCCCCCUCGCCGGCCGGCCGGGCGCCGCAGCGGCUGAGCUCGCUGGCAUCGCCGGGCUGCCGCCGCCCUCGCCGCCCCCUGCAUGCCCGGCGCCCGGGUCGCGGCCCACCUGGACUCUCUGGGCCCCCUGGUCCCCUCCGUGCCGCCGCCGCUGCUGCCCUCUAUGUUCUACGUGGGCCUGUUCUUCGUCAAUGUGCUGAUCCUAUACUACGCCUUCCUCAUGGAGUACAUCGUCCUUAACGUGGGCCUAGUCUUCCUGCCCGAGGACAUGGACCAGGCGCUCGUGGACCUCGGCGUGCUCUCUGACCCCGGCUCGGGCCUCUACGAUGCCGACUCGGAGCUCGACGUCUUCGAUGGUUACUUGGAGUAGGCUUGGUUGCUGUCCCCUGCUCCCCUUUCGAUCCGCAACCCUCGGCCCGGACCAGCGCCUAGAUCAUGCUGCUGCUGCUGGUUGAGGGCACCGUCAGGCCAGGGAUGGGACCCCCAGGACGAGGCCCUCCCCGGCCUCCAAGGCCUGCCUGCUCCCCUGGAAAUCUCCGUGCCAACAGAAAGGUUCCUGUCCGGACCCAGGACAGUGGGACAGAGAGAUUGAGACUGAGUGCCCCUGCCCGAGGGCAGUGGCAGAGGCGCCCCCAGACCUCGCUCGCCUGCAGCGUUGCACAGACGGCCUUGCCUUGGCUUCCAGCCUUUCGCCAUUGCGAUGGGUGUUUACGGGAACCCAGCCAGAGUCUGCCUCCUCGCUCCUCAUCCCCGACCGCACCUGCUUCCCCCACCUAACCUUCAGAGAGGGCACUUCACACGCAGAAGCAAUUCCCAGCUGUCGGAGACCUCAGCCCGCCGGGGCUCAGCCCAGGGCCGGGCUCAGAUGCCACGACUGUUUCAGUGAGUGACUCAGAAGGUGAAGACCACGGCGGGGGCCAAGGGGGGGUUUUGACUCAUUAAUUUCAAGUUUGCUCUCCAUCAAGUUGCCAGAACUGAUACUUUGUGCCAGGGGAUGGCGCUCCUCCGGCCAGAAAUAUUUUUUGAAAAUGUGAGUGGUAUGAAUACUUGACUUCCAU